CUGGUCAGAGGAGAACAGCUCACAGGAGUCCAGAAACAAGUGCCCUGUUGUAAUGGAUCACUGCUGCAUGUCUGCUGCACACAAAUCCUGCUGGAGCCAGAUACACACAUGCAGCAGAGAGUGGUGAGUUCACACACACAAACACACACAUACACACGUUCAUCUCAUGGACUGCUGCUGCGUGAGUGUUCAGGUUGUAUUCAGUCCUCUCUUCAUGAUGUGGAGUCACCUGCCAGAUCCGGUUCUGGUUCAUGUGGAGAAAAAGGAAUCUGGGUCACAGAGACACACCGCUCAUUCACGGCUGCGGCCACCAGGAGGCGCUGCUGAACAUGGAUGAAGAUCUGACACACCACCUCACCUUCCAGACCAGCCACCAGAUCCAGUCUGUAUCCAGAUCAGAGGGUCACUGCAGUCACCCGGAUCCAG
This is a long non-coding RNA of Carassius auratus (goldfish), 426 nucleotides long. RefSeq lists it as uncharacterized. The transcript has 3 exons. NCBI's taxonomy places the organism in Eukaryota, Metazoa, Chordata, Actinopteri, Cypriniformes, Cyprinidae. The record is from RefSeq and is a predicted model, not a curated record.